This 354-nucleotide transfer-messenger RNA is filed under the name Kiritimatiellia. RNAcentral's name for it is "UBA1067 sp902772905 Standard tmRNA". It matches the Rfam family "transfer-messenger RNA". From Rfam's summary of the family: Bacterial tmRNA, also known as 10Sa RNA or SsrA, is named for its dual tRNA and mRNA-like properties. Its role is to liberate the mRNA from a stalled ribosome. The record is from RNAcentral. Lineage: Bacteria; Pseudomonadati; Kiritimatiellota. RNAcentral also lists the same sequence under 1 other name.
GGGGGUGAUCCGGUUUCGACGGGAUGUGUUGAGGUCGGGUUGCGCGUCGUGGAUUCUCGUUGGCCACGUUAAAAAACGGGAAAAACAGUAAUUGCGAACAACGAUUACGCUCUGGCCGCCUAAGUAAUGGCCGCCAUGCCGAAGUGCCGAUGUCUGCUGAGCGCCGAGGCAUCAUCUAGCAGGCCACGCUUGAGAGGGCUCCGCUCGCUCGCUUAAGGGUGCCGAAUCGAGCGGAUGGUUGGGGAUAAGCUCGCCUGGUCGGCGUACCCCAUCCGAGAUCAAAGGCCGGAUACACGCGUAGACGCUCGGGUGACGCCGUUUCGGACAGGGGUUCGACUCCCCUCACCUCCACCA